RNAcentral lists this ribosomal RNA (497 nucleotides) under uncultured bacterium. Its description in RNAcentral is "partial 16S ribosomal RNA". It matches the Rfam family "Bacterial small subunit ribosomal RNA", at positions 28 to 507 of the family's 1533-position model. The record is from RNAcentral.
GAUGAACGCUGGCGGCGUGCCUAAUACAUGCAAGUCGAGCGAACAGACGAGGAGCUUGCUCCUCUGACGUUAGCGGCGGACGGGUGAGUAACACGUGGAUAACCUACCUAUAAGACUGGGAUAACUUCGGGAAACCGGAGCUAAUACCGGAUAACAUGUUGAACCGCAUGGUUCAACAGUGAAAGACGGUCUUGCUGUCACUUAUAGAUGGAUCCGCGCCGCAUUAGCUAGUUGGUAAGGUAACGGCUUACCAAGGCAACGAUGCGUAGCCGACCUGAGAGGGUGAUCGGCCACACUGGAACUGAGACACGGUCCAGACUCCUACGGGAGGCAGCAGUUGGGAAUCUUCCGCAAUGGGCGAAAGCCUGACGGAGCAACGCCGCGUGAGUGAAGAAGGUCUUCGGAUCGUAAAACUCUGUUAUUAGGGAAGAACAAAUGUGUAAGUAACUAUGCACGUCUUGACGGUACCUAAUCAGAAAGCCACGGCUAACUACGUG